Ictidomys tridecemlineatus (thirteen-lined ground squirrel) is the source of this 105-nucleotide small nuclear RNA. NCBI's taxonomy places the organism in Eukaryota, Metazoa, Chordata, Mammalia, Rodentia, Sciuridae. The record is from Ensembl.
CUUGUGCUCACUUCAGAAGAAGAUAUAUUAAAAUUGGAAUGAUACAGAUUAUCAUGGCCCCUGAGCAAGGAUGACUUACAAACUCAUGAAGUAUUUCAUAUUUUU